Passer domesticus (house sparrow) is the source of this 669-nucleotide long non-coding RNA. RefSeq lists it as uncharacterized. The transcript has 4 exons. The record is from RefSeq and is a predicted model, not a curated record. NCBI's taxonomy places the organism in Eukaryota, Metazoa, Chordata, Aves, Passeriformes, Passeridae.
AAUAAUUUUAAUUAACUACAGUAAAAUGAGAAAGGCCAUAUACAUAUGCAUGCUUUAAAAAUAUAAAUGAAAAUGUAUAUACUUUUAAAUGAACCUAAAAGAGACAAGUACUCACUCAUCUAAAAUAUUUAGAAGAAUAAAAAUGAACAUCUGUACAGAUUUUUUAGCAGUCAUUCACAGGUUGAAUCAUUAAAGACAGGAGGAAAAACUGAACAGAGCAACUCCAUUGAAGUUUCAGCUUUUGUCUCUCUUUUCCAGGUACGUUUUUUUUCCCUCUGUAGCAAUAUCCAGCUCUUCUAUGAGGUUCCAGUGGCUUCUAUGACAGAGACAUCUCCAGCAAUGAAAGGUUUACUUUGGACUCUUUCCAGUUUUACCUCAACCAAUUUCAGUGGUACCUUAGAAAUCCAUGUGUUCUCUAUGUAUUAAUGGAAUCUGAUGGGGAAAAAAAUAUCUCAUCAAAUUGCACUAGUAAGGAGGACAAUUUUGAAAGCUACACCUUACUUUUCCUCUUACAAUCCUCUUCAGUGAGAUUUGAUUCAGAGCAACUGUUUACAAAGUAAGAAGUGAGAUUAUAUCAUAUUACAUUGAUUAGAAAUUCACUGUUAAAAUGAAACUUGCUCUUGGAAAAAAGCACCCAGCAUUUGUUUCUCUGCAUUGAAAGAAUCAGGA